Non-coding RNA from Schistosoma curassoni, 46 nucleotides. The record is from Rfam. Lineage: Eukaryota; Metazoa; Platyhelminthes; Trematoda; Strigeidida; Schistosomatidae.
ACACUGCUGAGGAGUCCUACAGUAGAACGAAACAGUUGUCCAGUGU